GUUUGGUCCUAGCCUUGCAAUCAAUUUUUACUUAAUUUACACAUGCAAGUAUCCGCGCCCCUGUGAAAACGCCCUUAAAUCCCCCAUAGGGAUGAGGAGCUGGUAUCAGGCACAUCUACAUUGCCCAAAACACCUAGCUACGCCACACCCACAAGGGACUUCAGCAGUGAUUAAAAUUGAAUAUCAGCGACAGCUUGAUUCAGUUAAAGUAAAUAGAGCCGGCUAAUCUGGUGCCAGCCGCCGCGGUUACACCACGUGGCUCAAAUUGACCAUUACCGGCGUAAAGAGUGAUUUAAGAGUCUUAAUAUUGGCGUCAAAUUUGCACUAAGCUGUGACACGCUUGUCCCCUAGAAGUCCCAUAAACGAAAGUUACUCCAACUAAACCAACUUGAACUCACGACAGCCAAGAAACAAACUGGGAUUAGAUACCCCACUAUGCUUGGCAGUAAACCUUAAAUUACACCAAAAUCGCCUGGGAACUACGAGCGAAGCUUAAAACCCAAAGGACUUGACGGUACCCCAAAUCCACCUAGAGGAGCCUGUCCUAUAAUCGAUAACCCCCGCUUUACCUCACCACUUCUAGCUUAUCAGCCUGUAUACCUCCGUCGUCAGCUUACCCCGUGAGCGAAAGAUAGUGAGCUUAAUGCCAUUCACCAACACGUCAGGUCAAGGUGCAACUUAUGAACUGGGAAGAGAUGCGCUACACUCCCUAUUUUAGGGCACACGAAAAACUACCCAUGAAAUUUAGUUUGAAGGCGGAUUUAGAAGUAAAAAGAAACCAGAAUGUUCUUUUUAACUCGGCACUGGGGUGCGUACACACCGCCCGUCACCCUCCUCAAAGUCUUAUUGAAGUUUUUAACUCCAUCAUGACAAACAGAAGAGGCAAGUCGUAACAUGGUAAGUAUACCGGAAGGUGUGCUUGGAACCACAGUAUAGCUUAAUACUCAAAGCACCCCGCUUACACCGGAUAGAUCUCUGUGAAACUCAGAUUAUUGUGAGCUAAUCCCCUAGCCCUAACCCACCCAAUGUUAACCCUUUAACCAUUCUCACCACCUAAAGCAUUUUAACAGUUUAGUAAAGGAGAUUAAAAAACUUUUAGGAGCUACAAAAAGAGUACCGCAAGGGAAAGAUGAAAUAAAAAUGAAACAAAUUUUAAGCAAAAAACAGUAAAGGAAACCCCUUGUACCUUUUGCAUCAUGGUUUAACUAGUCAAAUCAAGCAAAAAGGCCUUCAGUUUGACCCCCCGAAACUAAACGAGCUACUUUGAGGCAGCUUUCUGAGCCAACCCAUCUCUGUUACAAAAGAGUGGGACGACCCCUAAGUAGCGGUGACAGACCUACCGAGUUUAGUGAUAGCUGGUUGCUUGAGAAAAGGACCUAAGUCCAUGCUAAAUUGACUUUGAUACAAAAAAUCCCACCUUCAAUUUAGACUCAUUCAAGCAAGGUACAGCCUGCUUGAAAAAGGACACAACCUCCCCAUAUGGGUAAUUAAUACAACAUGUAUAUCUAAGUGGGCCUAAAAGCAGCCACCUUAAUUAAUAGCGUCAUAGCUUGAUUAUAAAUAAGCUUAAUCACAUCUAAUACACAAAACCCUACACCACUAUUAAGCAAUUCCAUAUUAUUAUGGAAAAUCUUAUGUUAAAACUAGUAACAAGAAGUCAUACUUCUCUUUAAUGCAAGCCCACAUCAGACUGGACCAACCACUGAUAAAUAACACCCUUAACCCUAAAGUAGUAACUAAACAAGAAAACCCUACCCCCCCCGGUGUUAACCUAACACAAGAGCAUUACAAGAAAGAUUAAAAGAAAAAGAAGGAACUCGGCAAACAUUGACCCCGCCUGUUUACCAAAAACAUCGCCUCUUGCCUCCCAUAAGAGGUCCAGCCUGCCCAGUGACAUUGUUCAACGGCCGCGGUAUCCUAACCGUGCGAAGGUAGCGUAAUCACUUGUUCUUUAAAUAAGGACUAGUAUGAAAGGCACCACGAGAGUCAUGCUGUCUCCUUUUUCUAAUCAGUGAAACUAAUCUCCCCGUGAAGAAGCGAGGAUAAAUAUAUAAGACGAGAAGACCCUAUGGAGCUUAAAACAAAUAACACCUGCCUGCCAAACUUCUAAUUUCAGAAAAACUUUCUACCCCGGCACCAUGAUUAUUAGUUUUCGGUUGGGGUGACCACGGAACAAAAAUCAACCUCCGCAAUGAAAGGCACUCAUCUACUUAGUCAAGGGCCACAACCCUACACAUCAACAAAUUGACACCAAUUGACCCAACAUGUUGAUCAAUGAACCAAGUUACCCUAGGGAUAACAGCGCAAUCCACUUCAAGAGCCCCUAUCGACAAGUGGGUUUACGACCUCGAUGUUGGAUCAGGGUGUCCUAGUGGUGCAGCCGCUACUAAAGGUUCGUUUGUUCAACGAUUAAAACCCU
RNAcentral lists this non-coding RNA (2419 nucleotides) under Adenomera sp. S. RNAcentral's name for it is "partial large subunit ribosomal RNA". The stretch from base 1 to 935 matches the Rfam family "Bacterial small subunit ribosomal RNA". Lineage: Eukaryota; Metazoa; Chordata; Amphibia; Anura; Leptodactylidae. The record is from RNAcentral.